CCUACGGGAGGCAGCAGUGGGGAAUAUUGCGCAAUGGGCGAAAGCCUGACGCAGCGACGCCGCGUGAGGGAUGAAGGUCUUCGGAUCGUAAACCUCUGUCAGCAGGGAAGAACGGUCACUGUGCUAAUCAGCAGUGCAUUGACGGUACCUGCAAAGGAAGCACCGGCUAACUCCGUGCCAGCAGCCGCGGUAAUACGGAGGGUGCGAGCGUUAAUCGGAAUUACUGGGCGUAAAGCGCUCGUAGGCGGUAUGUCAAGUCAAGGGUGAAAUCCCCGCGCUCAACGUGGGAACUGCCUUUGAAACGGGAUAACUGGAGUGUGUGAGAGGAUAGUGGAAUUCCAGGUGUAGGAGUGAAAUCCGGAGAUAUCUGGAGGAACAUCAGUGGCGAAGGCGACUAUCUGGCACAUAACUGACGCUGAGGAGCGAAAGCGUGGGUAGCAAACAGGAUUAGAUACCCGAGUAGUC
Molecule: ribosomal RNA, 465 nt
Filed under: uncultured bacterium
Lineage: Bacteria
Description: partial 16S ribosomal RNA
Rfam family: Bacterial small subunit ribosomal RNA
Source: RNAcentral